Archocentrus centrarchus (flier cichlid) is the source of this 281-nucleotide long non-coding RNA. RefSeq lists it as uncharacterized. The record is from RefSeq and is a predicted model, not a curated record. The transcript is spliced from 3 exons. NCBI's taxonomy places the organism in Eukaryota, Metazoa, Chordata, Actinopteri, Cichliformes, Cichlidae.
ACAUCAUCGGUCAUGGAGAGUCUCCAUCCAGCUGGAUCACUGUCACAGAGAGACACACCACCACACCUCCACCUACAUCCACACCUCCACCUACAUCCACUUCUAAUCCUGCAUCUACCUCGAUCCAGUUGCAGUGAGAUCAUAACGGGCCCGGAGUUUCUAGAGCCCCAGCUCGUCUGCUCCUCACUGAAGCUCCACCAAUCAGACCUCAGGACAUUCAACACUUAAUUUUUCUCUCUGUUCUUUUCACAAGGUUAUAUUCAUAAAACAAUACUAUAUAA